Molecule: unclassified non-coding RNA, 254 nt
Filed under: Hevea brasiliensis (rubber tree)
Lineage: Eukaryota; Viridiplantae; Streptophyta; Magnoliopsida; Malpighiales; Euphorbiaceae
Source: RNAcentral
GAUCAUAAGGUGAAAGUUGAAUCUGAUUUGGAAUCCAAAAAAGAUGAGAAAAGGAUUAAUGGGUCGGCUUCCCCGUCUGUGAAUGAGCAUGAGUCUAGGGUAAAGGGUAAGAAAGAAUCGUCUAAUAAGAAAGAUAGUCCUAGAAAGUUGCCCAAUGGCGUGGCAAAAGAUAAUAAUUCGCAAGAGGAAUCUGAGAGCGAAGAAUCAGUAAAGGAAGAGGAGGAGGGAGGAGUAGUGGAUGGUAGGGAAGAGGC